UUAUGUUGCAAGAUUCCCGAUAGGAUUUACAUCUCGUGUAAAGAUGCCUUGUAACCGACUAUAUUUAGGGGGAAUGAAAGAUG
This is a regulatory RNA element of Vagococcus teuberi, 83 nucleotides long. It matches the Rfam family "SAM-III riboswitch aptamer (SMK box)". The record is from Rfam. Lineage: Bacteria; Bacillati; Bacillota; Bacilli; Lactobacillales; Enterococcaceae.